RNAcentral lists this non-coding RNA (213 nucleotides) under Alkalibacter saccharofermentans. RNAcentral's name for it is "T-box sequence". It matches the Rfam family "T-box leader". Rfam says of the family: Uncharged tRNA acts as the effector for transcription antitermination of genes in the T-box leader family. The record is from RNAcentral. Lineage: Bacteria; Bacillati; Bacillota; Clostridia; Eubacteriales; Eubacteriaceae.
UUUAAAACGAUGAUGGAGAUAAGUAUGCCCUGACGUCUUAUUUAGAGAGAGAAUCGUAUUGCUGGAAGGUUCUUAUAAGGCUGGGUUGAAAUUCACUCCUGAGUGCAGGAUGGAAACAUUAGUACAUUUUGCCGGCAAUUGCCGUUAAUAAUUUAAGUGGAUGUGCUUGAGCGCAUCAAUCAGGGUGGUACCGCGGUAUUAAUCGUCCCUUGC